CCCCACCCAGCUCAGGUCCCCUAAGAUCUCCAGCCAGGACCCUUCCCCCACAAGCCUCAGCAUGGUCACCCCUUCAGUCACUGCCUCUUAGGGACAGCACAGGGCAUCCCCUUCCCUCCAUUAUCCCACCCAGCUCCUACCCCACAGAGCUCCUACCUCACCCAACCUCCUACCCCACCCUGCUCCUUGUUCCCUAAGAACUAUCCAGCAAGGUUCCUAUCCCAAACAGGACUCAGCAGGAUCGGCGCAUCCAUGAACCUCCUUACAGGGAGAGAGACACACUUUGCCUCUUCUCCAUGCAUUACUUACCCAGCUCUGGUCCCAUGACGCCGCUCCAGCCAGUGCUGCACCCCACAAACUGCUGGACACACUGGUGCCCUCCCUACCUGAGGCUCUCCGCCGGGAUCCACAAUGUCCAACAGGAG
This 425-nucleotide long non-coding RNA is filed under the name Marmota monax (woodchuck). The record is from RNAcentral. Lineage: Eukaryota; Metazoa; Chordata; Mammalia; Rodentia; Sciuridae.